CCUACGGGUGGCAGCAGUGGGGAAUAUUGCACAAUGGGGGAAACCCUGAUGCAGCGACGCCGCGUGAAGGAAGAAGUAUUUCGUUAUGUAAACUUCUAUCAGCAGGGAAGAAAAUGACGGUACCUGACUAAGAAGCCCCGGCUAACUACGUGCCAGCAGCCGCGGUAAUACGUAGGGGGCAAGCGUUAUCCGGAUUUACUGGGUGUAAAGGGAGCGUAGGCGGUUUAGCAAGUCAGAAGUGAAAGCCCGGGGCUCAACUCCGGGACUGCUUUUGAAACUGUAGAACUAGAGUGCAGGAGAGGUAAGUGGAAUUCCUAGUGUAGCGGUGAAAUGCGUAGAUAUUAGGAGGAACACCAGUGGCGAAGGCGGCUUACUGGACUGUAAAUGACGCUGAGGCUCGAAAGCGUGGGGAGCAAACAGGAUUAGAUACCCCAGUAGUC
RNAcentral lists this ribosomal RNA (440 nucleotides) under uncultured bacterium. RNAcentral describes it as "partial 16S ribosomal RNA". It matches the Rfam family "Bacterial small subunit ribosomal RNA", at positions 338 to 795 of the family's 1533-position model. The record is from RNAcentral.